RNAcentral lists this transfer RNA (73 nucleotides) under Scopulibacillus daqui. RNAcentral's name for it is "tRNA-Thr". It matches the Rfam family "tRNA". From Rfam's summary of the family: Transfer RNA (tRNA) molecules are approximately 80 nucleotides in length. The record is from RNAcentral. Lineage: Bacteria; Bacillati; Bacillota; Bacilli; Caryophanales; Sporolactobacillaceae.
GCUUCCAUAGCUCAGUCGGUAGAGCACUUCCAUGGUAAGGAAGGGGUCGCAGGUUCAAGUCCUGUUGGAAGCU